Molecule: ribosomal RNA, 16 nt
Filed under: Liriope muscari (big blue lilyturf)
Lineage: Eukaryota; Viridiplantae; Streptophyta; Magnoliopsida; Asparagales; Asparagaceae
Also listed under: 21 other names
Description: partial 26S ribosomal RNA
Source: RNAcentral
CACCCGCUGAGCUUAA